AGUUAUAUGUCGCUUUGUGACAGAUAUGUCCUAAGAAAUGCAUUGUGAGGCAAUUCCAUCAUUGCACAAACAUUAUGGAGUGUACUUACAUAAACCUUGAGUGUAGUCUACUGCACACCUGGGCAAUAUGGUAUAGCGUAUUGCUCCUAGGCUGCCAACCUGCACAGCAUGUUAUUGUACUGAACAAUGUAGGCAAUGUAACGCAAUGAUAUUUGUGUAUCUAAACAUACCUAAAUGCAGAAAUGCUGCAGUAGAUAUACAACAUAAAAGAUUGUUUUUAAGUCCACCUGUAGAAGGCACUUACCAUGAAUUGAACUUGCAGGCUUGGAAAUAUCUCUGGGUGGUGCAUGACUGUAGAACUUUAAGCAAUGAUGAAAAUGCUCUAUAUCCACACUAUCCAAUAUGGUAACCACUAGCCACUUGUGACUACUGAGUGUCUGAAAGGUUCUGCUUGAAUUCUUGCCCUGGCUCUUGGUGAAGGAUCGGCCUGCUGGAUCUGAGUCAUCCACCUAUAAGAGGGACAACACCACACAUUGGUCGCUGCUCUCAAGCCCCUGGAAUACCACCCCACUUGGCUUCUCCUGGUAACAGUGGCUGCCUUUGCUUGCCUGUCUCCAACUCCUCCCAAGAGCAUUGCUGACUGGAUGGGCUCUCACUAUAGCCCUGUUCUGGAACUCCUGGGCUCAAGCCAUCCUCCCACUUUGGCCUCCCCAAAAUGCUGGGAUUACAGGCGUGAACCACCGCAUCUAGCCUAAAAUUAUAUUGUUAAAAGACUUUGUUUCUCAGUUUGGGAUAAUCAGAAUUCAUAGUUCUGAUCUCGACUACCAGUUUUAAUGAGGUACUUCUUUCUAACUCCAUCAGCUGUGUGGCUAUCUGCAGGUACCACCCACAUAAACAAAAACUUUUUGGGAGUCCUCCAGAAUUUUUAAGAGUUAUCUAAACUAUUGCCUUUAAUGACCAGGAACUCCAAUUUGAGAAGUUACCCUACGUUAAGCCAACAGCAGCCUGGCUCCUUCAUCCUGUGCAGUAUGGGACAGAGCUGGGUCCUUGUUGUCAUCAGCCAGACAAGCACACAUUAAAGCCCACCUUAGCCAUUGGCAUUACAGCUUUAAAAGCAGCUCCAUCCUACCAUGCUGUCACUCUACUCAAUCACGUGAUCUUAACGACCAGCUCUACAUAUCCUCUCUCCAUGCCCCCACCACCAUCCCCCACCAACAUUCUGCUAUCAGCUACAGGUCUGGGUUUGUGUCUCCGACAAAGAACCACCUCAAAGCCCCACAGAAAAGGACUGUACCGUAUACUUCAAACUAUUGACACCUCAAAGAACAGAGCUUGGGUUCAGGCUUCUGAUGCAUUCUGAGACACUCUCAGACCAUACCAGUGGGCUGGGUCAGGAUUUACAGAACUAUUUUCAUUUCAAGAGCAUACGGGCUCAUGAGAUUGCUAACUCAAGAUCCGGUGGAACAGAAAUACUUAUAUCGGACUGAAUAAACUGAUGAGGAAAAUGAGCCAGCUGCCAUGUCAUGCAGACACUCAAGCAGCCCUAUGGAGAAGCCACAUGGAGAGGGGCUGAGGCCUGUUUCCCACAGCCAUGUGAGUGGGCCAUUCCGGAAGCAGAUCAUCCAGCCCUCGCCAAGCUGACAGACGACUGCAUCCCCAGCCAACAUCUAGACUGGAGCCUCACGAGAGACCAACCCGGAGACCCCACCCAGC
This 1713-nucleotide long non-coding RNA is filed under the name Homo sapiens (human). RNAcentral describes it as "long non-coding RNA NONHSAT195091.1". Lineage: Eukaryota; Metazoa; Chordata; Mammalia; Primates; Hominidae. The record is from RNAcentral.